AACUCCCAUCUAUCAUUCAACAAUAUAUUGUACAACCAUACGAGUUACAGUCCGUCGCAGCAAAUAAAAUGCACGGAUACCUGUAUAUGUACAACCAUAAGAAGGGGUCUCCGGUCGCGUAAACAGAGCAAAAGCUACUCGACAAAGAUAAAGAUGAGGUAUCGAAGUGGUUUAUCAGUUGUGAGAGGGGGGAUUGGUCGUCGGUCCAACGUAAUCCGCAUCAAACCCUGGAUGCUCCUUUGCUCCACCUCGAGGCACAGGCCAUGUAACCUUAACGAGCGUGGAGGCUUGAAGGGCACCUGAGACGCCUUCGUUCUUCCCCUUGACGUCCUCUGUGCGUUCAACAGUCGAGAAGCCUUGUUUCUUCUCGAGUGCAACACCUUCCGAUGACGUCGAUUCUGCGGGAUUUCCAUGGACUGAAUUCUCAUCCGGAAUCACCUUCGCAGAAACCUAAACAAGAGACACGCUAAGGUUACAGUCAUCCUACGUAUGUAAUCAACAAACAUGAUCGAUGAUCACCAACCUUGCUGGAUUCAUUGUAACGACUGCUUGGAUCUUUGGCAUGCAUCCUUAGAUGCCGGGCAUUGCAUGCGUCGACGGAAAGAGCUAACAGGAGGGUGAAGAGAAGAGCAACAGAAGGC
RNAcentral lists this long non-coding RNA (641 nucleotides) under Musa acuminata (dwarf banana). Its description in RNAcentral is "long non-coding RNA (MACU_LNC002196)". Lineage: Eukaryota; Viridiplantae; Streptophyta; Magnoliopsida; Zingiberales; Musaceae. The record is from RNAcentral.